Molecule: RNA transcript, 3459 nt
Organism: Vitis vinifera (wine grape)
Lineage: Eukaryota; Viridiplantae; Streptophyta; Magnoliopsida; Vitales; Vitaceae
Gene name: AMP deaminase
Exons: 20
Source: RefSeq, a predicted model, not a curated record
AGCGGCGAUGCUACGAACUACGAAGACAGCACUGAGAAAAUCUAUUUAUCUUCCGCAAGAGAGGAAGUGGCGAAUAUGUCCUCUUCCCUCUUCUCCCUAUAAAUAUUCCCACCAAGCCCUUCGCAUCCUGUUAAUAAAACUCAACUCUCUCAUCUUUCUCCUAUUCUCCUCUUCUUCUGCUGUUUUCCACAGUAGUAGGGGUAGGGUUUCUUCCACAGAGUUUGUAAGGUUUUAAAGAGGGAAACGAAGUGUCGGGGUGGUGGCGGCGGAGAUGGAUUCAUACGCUAUCCAUCUGGCCGUGGCGGCUCUGGUCGGGGCUUCUUUUGUGGCAGUAUCAGCCUAUUAUAUGCACCGCAAAACCCUAGCACAGUUGCUUGAAUUUGCGAAGACGGUAGAGAGGGAACGGGAGCGGGAGGAGAACUCGGACGGGGUUGGCCUGGGAGACUCGCCGCAGCAUUUCAGGAAGUACGGCGAGAAGCGAAGGAGCCACAGCAGCGGUCGGAGGAAGGGGAGCGGCUACAACAAGAGAGGCUCGUCGUCCUUGCCGGACGUUACCGCAAUUUCCGGCGUCGGUGAUGGAGAGGACAGGCGUAACGGGGAGUUUUCCGUAGACGGCAUUCCGGUUGGCUUGCCACGGCUGCACACGCUUCCAGAAGGGAAAUCUGGGGCCCUUGCAAAUUCAACCAAGAGAGCUGGGCAUAUUAUCAGACCGACUUCUCCCAAGUCUCCUGUUGCCAGUGCUAGUGCCUUUGAGAGUGUGGAAGGAUCAGAUGAUGAAGAUAAUUUGCCAGACAAUUCUAAACUGGACACUACAUAUCUGCAUGCUAAUGGAACCACUGACCCAGACAGUAAAAGCUUGUUCCCAAAUUUACCUGAUCAUGUCACUGCAAAUGGAGAACAACUGCCAAUAGCUGCUUCGAGUAUGAUUCGUUCGCAUAGUGUAUCUGGUGACCUGCAUGGUGUUCAGCCUGAUCCUGUAGCAGCUGAUAUUCUAAGGAAAGAGCCAGAGCAUGAAACUUUUGUACGACUUAAAAUUUCCCCAACUGAGGUACCAUCGCCUGAUGAAGAGGAGGUCUAUAUGAUUCUAAAAGAUUGCCUUGAAAUGCGAGAGAGUUAUUUAUUCAGGGAAGAGACUGCUCCAUGGGAGAGAGAAGUUAUAUCUGACCCAAGUACACCCAAGCCUGAUCCAAAUCCAUUUUCUUAUACUCUUGAGGGAAAAAGUGAUCAUUAUUUUCAGAUGGAAGAUGGAGUUGUUAACGUGUACGCAAAUAAAGAUUCAAAAGACAAGCUUUUCCCAGUUGCUGAUGCAACAACCUUUUUUACUGAUCUGCAUCACAUACUUAGAGUAAUAGCAGCUGGGAAUAUUCGAACCUUAUGUCACCAUCGGUUGGUUCUUCUCGAACAGAAAUUCAACCUUCAUGUGAUGCUUAAUGCGGAUAGAGAAUUCCUUGCACAGAAAAGUGCACCACAUCGUGACUUUUAUAAUGUCAGGAAGGUCGAUACACACGUUCAUCACUCAGCAUGCAUGAAUCAGAAACAUCUUUUGAGGUUUAUCAAGUCAAAACUGAGGAAAGAGCCUGAUGAGGUUGUUAUAUUUCGGGAUGGGACAUAUCUAACCUUAAAAGAAGUUUUUGAGAGCUUGGAUUUAACUGGGUAUGACCUGAAUGUUGACCUUUUAGAUGUUCAUGCAGACAAGAGCACAUUUCAUCGUUUUGAUAAGUUCAAUCUCAAGUACAAUCCCUGCGGUCAAAGUAGGCUCAGGGAAAUUUUCCUUAAGCAGGAUAAUCUUAUCCAAGGCCGUUUCCUUGGUGAGCUGACAAAGCAAGUAUUUUCCGAUCUCGCUGCAAGUAAAUAUCAGAUGGCUGAAUACAGGAUAUCAAUAUAUGGCAGAAAGCAAAGUGAGUGGGACCAACUUGCCAGUUGGAUAGUGAAUAAUGAUUUGUACAGUGAGAAUGUUGUUUGGUUGAUUCAGCUUCCCCGGCUGUAUAAUGUGUACAAGGAUAUGGGAAUUGUUACAUCAUUUCAGAACAUGCUGGACAAUAUCUUUCUUCCCCUGUUUGAGGUUACUGUGAAUCCAGAUUCACACCCUCAGUUGCACGUUUUCUUGAAACAGGUUGUUGGCCUGGACUUAGUGGAUGAUGAAAGCAAACCAGAAAGACGUCCUACAAAACAUAUGCCUACUCCAGCUCAGUGGACCAAUGCUUUCAAUCCUGCAUUUUCAUACUAUGUCUACUACUGUUAUGCUAACCUCUAUACAUUGAACAAGCUACGAGAGUCAAAGGGCAUGACUACUAUCAAAUUCCGUCCACAUUCUGGGGAGGCUGGUGACACUGACCACCUUGCUGCAACCUUUCUUACGUCUCACAAUAUUGCACAUGGAAUUAAUUUGAGAAAAUCUCCUGUACUUCAGUAUCUGUAUUACUUAGCACAGAUUGGUCUGGCUAUGUCUCCUCUGAGCAACAAUUCCUUGUUUUUGGACUAUCAUCGGAAUCCUUUUCCUAUGUUUUUCCUUCGGGGCCUCAAUGUUUCCCUCUCUACAGAUGAUCCACUACAAAUCCACCUAACAAAAGAACCCUUGGUGGAAGAAUACAGCAUAGCUGCUUCUGUAUGGAGGCUGAGUUCAUGCGAUUUAUGUGAAAUUGCCCGUAAUUCAGUCUACCAAUCAGGUUUCUCACAUGCUCUGAAGUCACACUGGAUUGGCCAAGAAUAUUACAAGAGGGGACCAGAUGGAAAUGAUAUUCGCAAGACAAAUGUGCCUCAUAUCCGGGUGGAAUUCCGUGAAACGAUCUGGAGAGAGGAAAUGCAGCAGGUUUAUCUGGGCAAAUUCAAACUCCCUGAAGAGAUUGAAAAAUAAUUUGCUGGCUGCAUGCUCACACUCUUGGACAUUAGUAUGUCUUCAAGAUGUAGGAUGUGGAAGAACUUGCGUUUUUCACCUGUUCUUAUCCAGCAGGGAAGAGACCAUUUUGGCUUGGGCAAGCAAGCUGAGAGUGACUUGGCAUGAACGAUGAGAUGAGAGAAAUCAAACAAGGACAUCAAUAUACCACGUGAAUGAAUUCACAAGACAGAGAGAUCCCUGAAAUCUGAGUGAGAGAGGUGAAUAGUUAAAAUACAGCCCAUAGCUAAACCAGGUCAUCCUGUUGUCUGAGCAAGUAACUCAAUAAGAAUUUUGCUUUUGUUUUAGGAUUGAGUAAAAUAAUUUGAUAUAUUUUAAAGCUUUAAUUUUGUGGUGCGGAGGUGGGUCCUGUGUAACAUGCAAUCAAUACAUGUUAUGAUAUAACCUGAGAAGCAGUAGUAAUCUCUAUUGCUUCUUCAAGUUUUGACCUUUUAUAAUUAUAAUAUGAUGCAUUAUAGUAGUAUGUGGCUAUUUCUUAGAUGGGACAUUGCAGGAUUGUAAUCCUCUCGCUGUAAUAAUAAAUAAUAAUUAUCAUAAUAAAAAAAAGGGGAGUAUAUGUUAUUUUA